CAUGGCGGCGUGCUACCAUGCAAGUCGAACGUGAUCCGCCCUUCGGGGUGGUGAAAGUGGCGCACGGGUGAGUAACGCGUGGAUAAUCUGCCCGAGGAUUUGGGAUAACAUCUCGAAAGGGGUGCUAAUACCGAAUAAGCCCACGGGGUCUACGGAUCUUGCGGGAAAAGGGGGGGACCUUCGGGCCUCCUGUCCUUGGAUGAGUCUGCGUACCAUUAGCUAGUUGGUGGGGUAAUGGCCUACCAAGGCGACGAUGGUUAGCUGGUCUGAGAGGAUGAUCAGCCACACUGGAACUGAGACACGGUCCAGACUCCUACGGGAGGCAGCAGUGGGGAAUUUUGCGCAAUGGGGGAAACCCUGACGCAGCAACGCCGCGUGGGUGAUGAAGGCCUUCGGGUCGUAAAGCUCUGUCUGGAGGGAAGAAAUGAUUGGGAGCUAAUACCUCUUGAUCUUGACGGUACCUCUGAAGGAAGCACCGGCUAACUCCGUGCCAGCAGCCGCGGUAAUACGGAGGGUGCAAGCGUUGUUCGGAAUUAUUGGGCGUAAAGCGCGUGUAGGCGGUCUUUUAAGUCUGAUGUGAAAGCCCCGGGCUCAACCUGGGAAGUGCAUUGGAAACUGGGAGGCUUGAGUACGGGAGAGGAGAGUGGAAUUCCUAGUGUAGGAGUGAAAUCCGUAGAUAUUAGGAGGAACACCGGUGGCGAAGGCGGCUCUCUGGACCGAUACUGACGCUGAGACGCGAAAGCGUGGGUAGCAAACAGGAUUAGAUACCCUGGUAGUCCACGCCGUAACGAUGAGUACUACGUGUUUGCGGGUAUUGACC
Molecule: ribosomal RNA, 820 nt
Filed under: uncultured Geobacter sp.
Lineage: Bacteria; Pseudomonadati; Thermodesulfobacteriota; Desulfuromonadia; Geobacterales; Geobacteraceae
Description: bacterial SSU rRNA
Rfam family: Bacterial small subunit ribosomal RNA
Source: RNAcentral